This 787-nucleotide long non-coding RNA is filed under the name Homo sapiens (human). Its description in RNAcentral is "dual specificity phosphatase 11 (ENSG00000291483.1)". The record is from RNAcentral. Lineage: Eukaryota; Metazoa; Chordata; Mammalia; Primates; Hominidae.
GAAAGGUGGAAAGACUAUCUCCCAGUUGGACAGCGGAUGCCUGGGACUCGUUUCAUUGCUUUCAAAGUUCCUUUGCAAAAGAGUUUUGAAAAGAAACUUGCUCCAGAAGAAUGCUUUUCCCCUUUGGAUCUUUUUAACAAAAUCCGAGAACAAAAUGAAGAACUUGGACUGAUUAUUGAUUUAACAUAUACUCAACGCUAUUAUAAACCAGAGGAUUUGCCAGAAACUGUUCCUUACUUAAAAAUUUUUACAGUUGGACAUCAAGUGCCUGAUGAUGAGACUAUUUUUAAAUUCAAACACGCUGUUAAUGGGUUUUUGAAAGAAAAUAAAGAUAAUGAUAAACUUAUUGGUGUCCACUGUACCCAUGGUUUAAACAGGACUGGCUACCUCAUUUGCAGAUAUUUGAUUGAUGUAGAAGGCGUGAGGCCAGAUGAUGCAAUUGAAUUAUUCAAUAGGUGCCGGGGACAUUGCUUAGAAAGACAAAACUACAUUGAAGACCUUCAGAAUGGUCCUAUCAGAAAAAAAUUUUCAGAGAAUCCACAUGUUUACCAGAGACACCAUCUCCCUCCUCCUGGUCCCCCUGGAGAGGACUAUUCACACAGGAGGUAUUCUUGGAAUGUGAAGCCCAAUGCCAGUCGGGCAGCCCAGGAUAGAAGAAGGUGGUAUCCUUAUAAUUACUCCAGACUCUCCUAUCCAGCCUGUUGGGAAUGGACCCAGUGAUACAAACCUGUCCUGGAAUUCUACCUGGAGACCAGAGCUGGCCUGAAAAUUACUGGUGUGACUUUUA